ACGGAGGAUCCAAGCGUUAUCCGGAUUUAUUGGGUUUAAAGGGUGCGCAGGCGGAUCAAUAAGUCAGCGGUGAAACAUUUCAGCUUAACUGGAAUCGUGCCGUUGAUACUGUUGAGCUAGAGUAUAAUUGACGUGGGUGGAAUGAGAUGUGUAGCGGUGAAAUGCUUAGAUAUGUCACAGAACGCCAAUUGUGAAGACAUGUCACGAAAUUAUUACUGACGCUCAUGCACGAAAGCGUGGGGAUCAAACAG
RNAcentral lists this ribosomal RNA (251 nucleotides) under uncultured prokaryote. RNAcentral describes it as "partial 16S rRNA". It matches the Rfam family "Bacterial small subunit ribosomal RNA", at positions 525 to 775 of the family's 1533-position model. The record is from RNAcentral.